UACGUAGGGGGCAAGCGUUGUCCGGAAUUACUGGGCGUAAAGCGCGUGUAGGCGGGACGGUUAGUCGGACGUGAAAGGCUGGGGCUCAACCCCAGAUCGCCGUUCGAAACUGCCGUUCUUGAGGGUCGAAGAGGAGAAUGGAAUUCCCGGUGUAGCGGUGAAAUGCGCAGAUAUCGGGAAGAACACCCGUGGCGAAGGCGGUUCUCUGGGACGGUACUGACGCUGAGACGCGAAAGCGUGGGGAGCGAACAGG
Molecule: ribosomal RNA, 253 nt
Filed under: uncultured bacterium
Lineage: Bacteria
Description: partial 16S ribosomal RNA
Rfam family: Bacterial small subunit ribosomal RNA
Source: RNAcentral